Molecule: ribosomal RNA, 460 nt
Filed under: uncultured bacterium
Lineage: Bacteria
Description: partial 16S ribosomal RNA
Rfam family: Bacterial small subunit ribosomal RNA
Source: RNAcentral
CCUACGGGUGGCAGCAGUGAGGAAUAUUGGGCAAUGGGCGCGAGCCUGAACCAGCAAAGCAGCGUGAAGGAUGACUGCCCUACGGGGUGUAAACUUCUUUUAUAAAGGAAUAAAGUGAGGCACGUGUGCCUUUUUGCAUGUACUUUAUGAAUAAGGAUCGGCUAACUCCGUGCCAGCAGCCGAGGUAAUACGGAGGAUCCGAGCGUUAUCCGGAUUUAUUGGGUUUAAAGGGAGCGUAGUUGGGUUGUUAAGUCAGUUGUGAAAGUUUGCGGCUCAACCGUAAAAUUGCAAUUGAUACUGGCAGUCUUGAGUACAGUUGAGGUAGGCGGAAUUCGUGGUGUAGCUGUGAAAUGCUUAGAUAUCACGAAGAACUCCGAUUGCGAAGGCAGCUUACUAAACUGCCACUGACAUUGAUGCUCGAAAGUGUGGGUAUCAAACAGGAUUAGAUACCCGUGUAGUC